Dunckerocampus dactyliophorus (ringed pipefish) is the source of this 746-nucleotide long non-coding RNA. RefSeq lists it as uncharacterized. The transcript has 3 exons. Lineage: Eukaryota; Metazoa; Chordata; Actinopteri; Syngnathiformes; Syngnathidae. The record is from RefSeq and is a predicted model, not a curated record.
CGCUGCGCGGCUGUCGGCAAUUGCAAUUAGUUGGCUUCGUAAGACGACGCUAGUUCAUUGCCUCUGUUCUCCUCGCCUGUUCUGUCACCUGAACUGUUUCUUACCUGUUGCCAGCCCAGUGUCUUCCCGUUGUGUUUUUUCACUGAGCUUUCCCCUCUGUCGCCUUUUGUUGCCUGUAUCCUGCACUACUACACAAAACAGGAAGUUGGUGUCCGUGUGGUGUCUGGUCGUGUACACUCGCAUCAAGAAUCGCGUCUUCAAUGAAGCGCUCUUAGUCCCCGACCACCUCCUCCAGCUCCACCGGGAGGACACCAAGGCGUUCCCAGGCCAGCUGUGAGACAUAAUCCCUCCAGCGUGCCCUAGAUCUUCCCCGGGGCCUUCAUUGACACGUGCCCGAAACACCUCACCAGGGAGGCGCCCGGGAGGCAUCCGGACGAGAUGCCUGAGCAACCUCAGCUGGCUCCUCUCGAUGUGAAGGGUUUAUUUCCUGGGAUUUCCAAGCAUACUUAAAUGCAGUAAACUGUACCUCAGCAGUAAGAGCAAGGGAGUGAUAAGAAAAUCCACUUAUUUUUUCUUUGUCUUUCUGUUAAGACCACGCAUACAUAAUAAACACGUUCUUGUGAUGUUCAGAGUGUCCCUGAAUGCCCCUCUCUGGUCAUCUCAUGACAAUGAGGAAGUGUGGUCCCGGGAGGACUACAGAUGCAUACAUGGUGUUGGAGUUGCCCUGCUGUUGUGUUCAAGUUAGA